This is a long non-coding RNA of Diabrotica virgifera virgifera (western corn rootworm), 846 nucleotides long. RefSeq lists it as uncharacterized. The transcript is spliced from 2 exons. NCBI's taxonomy places the organism in Eukaryota, Metazoa, Arthropoda, Insecta, Coleoptera, Chrysomelidae. The record is from RefSeq and is a predicted model, not a curated record.
GCCGUUCCAAGAUGCUGUCAAAAUUAAAUCAAUAUGGCUACUGGAAGGCAAACAUUGAAUAUUAUUCUAUCAGGUUCUUAUGGUUUUAGAUCAUUUUAGUUGUUGUACAAAGAUUAAUUUAACAUUUUCUCUGGAAGUAUUAAUUUAGAAAGAUAAUAUGCCUCAUUGGUGUUGUGUUUUGAAGUGUGAAAUGCAAAGUAAUCGUGAUAAAGUUAGCUUUUACCACUUACCAUCAGUGCUACAUUCUAAGCACAAAACUGAACCAAUUUAACUAAAUAAGUUAUAGUUAUCAUCUGAGAGACAACAACAAUGGUAAAAUGCAAUAAAAUAUAAAGAUUUUACUAGCAAAAUGGAAAUUCCCCUGUAAUCAUCUUAUAUCUGGUAAGUUACAACAUUUGAACAUUAACGAUUUUUGAAGAUGUUAACAGUCUAAUCUUGUAGGAAAACCAGCCGACUUAACUGAUAAUAACAAUCCAGAUUGGGUUCCUUCAAUAAAUAUGGGGUAUAUAAACACAAUGAAAUGAGUUCCCCAAAAUCUAAAAUGGGAAUUAAGGUACCAAAGGAGAAUUAAAAGAAAAGGGUACCUACAAGAAAAAAUUGCUUUUUUAUUCCUCUUGAAAUGAUUUAUAAGACACUGGACUGUCUUAUAUUCUACAAAUACUAGAAUCAGCUGAGAGAAGUGGUCUACAAAAACCCAGGAAGGAAACGGAAUAUGUGGCUACGAAAGGCAAAAGAAAGGUUUACAAAGCAAAUGUGACACAUUUUUUUGAAAUAUUUAGGAAUAUCAGUAAAUUGCAUUAAAAAAAUGUAUGAAAAGAUUUUGUUCAAUAAAAAUGUUUAUAUUUA